AGUGAACGCUGGCGGUAGGCCUAACACAUGCAAGUCGAACGGCAGCACAGUAAGAGCUUGCUCUUACGGGUGGCGAGUGGCGGACGGGUGAGGAAUACAUCGGAAUCUACUUUUUCGUGGGGGAUAACGUAGGGAAACUUACGCUAAUACCGCAUACGACCUACGGGUGAAAGCAGGGGAUCUUCGGACCUUGCGCGAUUGAAUGAGCCGAUGUCGGAUUAGCUAGUUGGCGGGGUAAAGGCCCACCAAGGCGACGAGCCGUAGCUGGUCUGAGAGGAUGAUCAGCCACACUGGAACUGGAGCACGGUCCAGACUCCUACGGGAGGCAGCAGUGGGGAAUAUUGGACAAUGGGCGCAAGCCUGAUCCAGCCAUACCGCGUGGGUGAAGAAGGCCUUCGGGUUGUAAAGCCCUUUUGUUGGGAAAGAAAAGCAGCAGGUUAAUACCCCGCUGUUCUGACGGUACCCAAAGAAUAAGCACCGGCUAACUUCGUG
RNAcentral lists this ribosomal RNA (492 nucleotides) under uncultured bacterium. RNAcentral's name for it is "partial 16S ribosomal RNA". It matches the Rfam family "Bacterial small subunit ribosomal RNA", at positions 29 to 507 of the family's 1533-position model. The record is from RNAcentral.